Molecule: unclassified non-coding RNA, 391 nt
Filed under: soil metagenome
Description: partial contains 5.8S ribosomal RNA, internal transcribed spacer 2, and large subunit ribosomal RNA
Rfam family: 5.8S ribosomal RNA (bases 1-122)
Source: RNAcentral
GAUGAAGAACGCAGCGAAAUGCGAUACUUGGUGUGAAUUGCAGAAUCCCGUGAACCAUCGAGUCUUUGAACGCAAGUUGCGCCCGAAGCCAUUAGGCCGAGGGCACGCCUGCCUGGGCGUCACACGUCGUUGCCCCCCCAUCUACUCCUUCGGGAUUGCGGGGGGCGGAUGAUGGCCUCCCGUGCGCCUCGUCGCGCGGUUGGCAUAAAUGCCAAGUCCUCGGCGACGCACGCCACGACAAUCGGUGGUUGCGAAACCGCGGUUGCCCGUCGUGUGCGGUCGUCGCGCAUCGAGGGCUCGAAAAAAUUGCCGGGCUCCGGCUCGGCUUUCAACGCGACCCCAGGUCAGGCGGGGUUACCCGCUGAAUUUAAGCAUAUCAAUAAGCGGAGGA